GGAAUCCGCUAAGGAGUGUGUAACAACUCACCUGCCGAAUGAAUUAGCCCUGAAAAUGGAUGGCGCUGAAGCGGGUAGCCGACACCACGCCGUCUGGACAAAGUGGUUUUUUCAGAUGAGUAGGAGGGCGUGGCGGUUGUAUCGAAGCGUGGAUGCGAAUCUGCGUGGAACAGCCGCUAGUGCAGAUCUUGGUGGUAGUAGCAAAUAUUCAAGCGAGAUCCUUGAAGGGCGAAGCGGGGAAGGGUUCCACGCGAACAUUGAUUGGGCGUGGGUGAGUCGUUCCUAAGCCGCGUGGCAAUAGCUAAUUACCGGCGAAAGGGAAGCAGGUUGACAUUCCUGCACACGGAUGUGGAGACGGCGACGAUACGUGAGGCGAUCACGCUGGCGGUGGCGCUGGGCAGAGUUGUCUUUUCUGUUUGACCAUUGAAUACUUGCUGUGUGGAAUCCGCUUGUCGGGAGAAACACGCAGGUACGGGCAGAGCGCCGGGGCUUUUCCGGCGUCCAGCUCGCCACCGACGGCCCUUGAAAAAUUGCCUGCUGGACAACAUUUCGGUGUUGUGAGAUCCACGCCGUGGCGUACCGAUAACCGCAUCAGGUCCCCAAGGUGAACAGCCUCUGCUCAGUAUGAACAAUGCAGGUAAGGGAAGUCGGCA
Molecule: ribosomal RNA, 653 nt
Filed under: Spyridia filamentosa
Lineage: Eukaryota; Rhodophyta; Florideophyceae; Ceramiales; Spyridiaceae
Description: eukaryotic LSU rRNA
Rfam family: Eukaryotic large subunit ribosomal RNA
Source: RNAcentral